UCGAGGACAACACAUACUCCCUUCCCCCUUGAUCCACAUCCUGGGGUAUACAAUUUUCCCAGGAUAAAGCAAUACCGCUAGCACAAAGCCAUAAGCAAUAAGCAGUAAAUGUUUCGGGGAAGAGAUUGAGAUGAUAUGCGCUUUUCCCUUCUGGAUUCACAACUCGAGGGUAUACAAUUUCUCCUUGUCGUGGUAAUACCCCACUCCAAUAGGCCAUAAAACGAGCCAAAAGAAUUACAAUAGA
Non-coding RNA from Cinara cedri, 244 nucleotides. NCBI's taxonomy places the organism in Eukaryota, Metazoa, Arthropoda, Insecta, Hemiptera, Aphididae. The record is from the annotation of a GenBank genome assembly.